CGGGUGAGUAACGCGUGAGGAACCUGCCUCAAAGAGGGGGACAACAGUUGGAAACGACUGCUAAUACCGCAUAAGCCCACGGCUCGGCAUCGAGCAGAGGGAAAAGGAGUGAUCCGCUUUGAGAUGGCCUCGCGUCCGAUUAGCUAGUUGGUGAGGUAACGGCCCACCAAGGCGACGAUCGGUAGCCGGACUGAGAGGUUGAACGGCCACAUUGGGACUGAGACACGGCCCAA
This 233-nucleotide ribosomal RNA is filed under the name uncultured bacterium. RNAcentral's name for it is "partial 16S ribosomal RNA". It matches the Rfam family "Bacterial small subunit ribosomal RNA", at positions 103 to 334 of the family's 1533-position model. The record is from RNAcentral.